AUGUGCCGUGACACCGCAAGCGGAGGGCUGGAAGGGAGUGGGAAAGCGAGACCAGCAAGGCUUGGUUUUCCUCCGAGCGGGAUUCCAGAUUCUUCUGCUGCUGGAGACGCUGGGCUGAGGGAGAGCCCCGAGGUCCCUGGGGGAGACGGGCACGUGGAAGCGCACCCCGAGCUCGGAGACGCACAGGAGGAGGAGGAGGAGGAGGAGGGAGAGGCUUCCCCUGGACUCCAAGCUGCCAAACCACAGCGCCGAGCCAUGUCACAGGUCAUCCAAAACCACGUGCUGCGCGUUGGCCAGACCGUGCACAUCCCCUCGCGGGAGGACAGCAAGUGCCUGCACGCGGCAGGGUACGCGGGCUGCUCCGCGCUGCCAGCCUCGUACUGCUACUACUCCACGGGCAGCUGGGCUGACCCCAAGGCUGUGGGGUGCCCCACGGGACGCCUGGUGCCUGGCGGGGGGCUGUAUGGAGCCCACCCUGUGCUGGAGCACUCAGCUGGAGCUCAGGGGCAGCAGGAGACAUCCCUGGAGCGAGCCGGGGUCCCUCGCCAGCCGCAGCAGCAGCAGCAGGGGGACGCCGGCACGGAGCCUGAUGCGCACCUCGGCUCUCCUACCUUGGAUAUUUCAAUAGAGAGCCUCAACAAGCUGAUCCUCGAGAUCGAUCCGACCUUCCAGCCGCUCAAGUGCAAGCCGGUGAAGGACACGGCCCAGCCCGCUUCCCAAGGGGACGUCACGGCCACCAAGAAGCACGAGCCGGAGGUGAUAGGUGAGGCAAAGAGGCGCUGCUGGCGCGGCGGGGCCACCAGGGCUCAGACCUGGUGAGAGCUGCUCACGAGAGGUCCGUGGGGCAUGGUAACAUCCCCCUGUCCCCAGAGGGGUCGGUGUUGUGUGGGUGUGCCGCGUCCUGGCAUCGGGGCUUGGUGUCAAAAACAGGCUUUGGGUACCCAGCUUCGGUCUGGUCGCCUCUGCAAGGUCUCUUGUCCGGCUAGCUCAACAGGAGCCAAAAGAACAGCCUUUAAUCCACCCUGAUAUUUCUUUCCCUGCAUUUGGAGAAAACGCUUCUCAUGAGUAAUGGGGCUCUCAGAAAGCUCCUGGUCCACAUUGCUGCCAUCAGGGACCAGAGACGGGCCCUAACCGUGGGAGGUGGUGUCCAUACGUGCCCGACCUCGCAGCAGAGCCCUGCUUUUAUGGAAGGGCAGCGGAGCCUUUCCCUGGGUCACAGCGGACCCGUGGGACAUGAGGAUUUGAAGCCAGAUUUCCAAAGCCCCGGGCUAAGCUACCGAUGGUUACACAACCAUCCUAGUUAAAUGUUCCCCGUCCUUUUGCCAGGGAAAUUCUUUCUCCAGGGCUUGUGCACUCCUCCGGCAGCACGCCUGGCAUGCAUAACGCAGAAUGGCAGCAGCACAGGCACCCACCUCUUGCUGCUCUCACGCCUGGGUGCUUUGGGAACACUUCUGCAUCGCUGCCAUCCCCACAUCCCGAGCUGUGCUGAGCGCUGCGGCUCCUGCUGUGCCUCCCCUGCAGUGUGUGAGCCACUCGGCGUGCACAAGGUGACACAGGCAGGCAGGGAGCUGCACGCUGCUGCUCACGUUCCGGUGUACCGGCUGCCGGAGCGCACAUCUGGGAUGUGUUUCAGUGCCUAAAGAUGCAGUCUGGCUGCCUCUGGAAAGCCCGAUUGCCCAGCCGCGUCUUUAGACGCCAAAAUACCUUGAGAAUCUGUCUGCAGCCCUCAUUCCGGAGAAAGGUCAAAUAAGAGGAUGUUACAGACAGGGAAAAAAAAAAUUCUGUUCUCCCUGAUCCCUCGUGGCUACUCCUGCCCAAG
Molecule: long non-coding RNA, 1819 nt
Filed under: Anas platyrhynchos platyrhynchos (common mallard)
Lineage: Eukaryota; Metazoa; Chordata; Aves; Anseriformes; Anatidae
Description: lncRNA (ENSAPLG00000025605.1)
Source: RNAcentral